This 252-nucleotide ribosomal RNA is filed under the name uncultured bacterium. RNAcentral describes it as "partial 16S ribosomal RNA". It matches the Rfam family "Bacterial small subunit ribosomal RNA", at positions 524 to 775 of the family's 1533-position model. The record is from RNAcentral.
UACGGAGGGUGCGAGCGUUGUCCGGAAUCACUGGGCGUAAAGGGCGCGUAGGCGGCUGGGGAAGUCGGCGGUGAAAGCCCGGAGCUCAACUCCGGGUCGGCCGUCGAGACUCCUCGGCUCGAGCUCACUAGAGGCAGAUGGAAUUCCGGGUGUAGCGGUGGAAUGCGUAGAGAUCCGGAAGAACACCGGUGGCGAAGGCGGUCUGCUGGGGUGAGGCUGACGCUGAUGCGCGACAGCGUGGGGAGCAACAGG